This 496-nucleotide ribosomal RNA is filed under the name uncultured bacterium. RNAcentral's name for it is "partial 16S ribosomal RNA". It matches the Rfam family "Bacterial small subunit ribosomal RNA", at positions 29 to 507 of the family's 1533-position model. The record is from RNAcentral.
AUGAACGCUGGCGGCGUGCCUAAUACAUGCAAGUCGAGCGAACGGACGAGAAGCUUGCUUUUCUGGUGUUAGCGGCGGACGGGUGAGUAACACGUGGAUAACCUACCUAUAAGACUGGGAUAACUUCGGGAAACCGGAGCUAAUACCGGAUAAUAUUUUGAACCGCAUGGUUCAAAAGUGAAAGACGGUCUUGCUGUCACUUAUAGAUGGAUCCGCGCUGCAUUAGCUAGUUGGUAAGGUAACGGCUUACCAAGGCAACGAUGCAUAGCCGACCUGAGAGGGUGAUCGGCCACACUGGAACUGAGACACGGUCCAGACUCCUACGGGAGGCAGCAGUAGGGAAUCUUCCGCAAUGGGCGAAAGCCUGACGGAGCAACGCCGCGUGAGUGAUGAAGGUCUUCGGAUCGUAAAACUCUGUUAUUAGGGAAGAACAUAUGUGUAAGUAACUGUGCACAUCUUGAAGGUACCUAAUCAGAAAGCCACGGCUAACUACGUG